This 275-nucleotide ribosomal RNA is filed under the name uncultured prokaryote. Its description in RNAcentral is "partial 16S ribosomal RNA". It matches the Rfam family "Bacterial small subunit ribosomal RNA", at positions 524 to 798 of the family's 1533-position model. The record is from RNAcentral.
UACGGAGGAUCCGAGCGUUAUCCGGAUUUAUUGGGUUUAAAGGGUGCGCAGGCGGGAGAUUAAGUCGGCGGUGAAAUUUUGCAGCUCAACUGUAAAAGUGCCUUCGAUACUGGUUUCCUUGAGUGUGGAUGAAGUAGGCGGAAUUUGUGGUGUAGCGGUGAAAUGCUUAGAUAUCACGAGGAACUCCGAUUGUGCAGGCAGCUUACUAAACCACUACUGACGCUCAGGCACGAAGGCGUGGGGAUCAAACAGGAUUAGAUACCCCGGUAGUCCCU